GGUCAAGUGAAUAAGUGCAUACGACGGAUGCCUUGGCAGUAGAAGGCGAUGAAGGACGUGAUAAUCUGCGAUAAGCUUCGGUUAGCUGAUAAUAAGCUUUAACCCGGAGAUCUCCGAAUGGGAAAACCCAGUGAUCAUAAGAUCAUUAUCCUUAACUGAAUACAUAGG
RNAcentral lists this ribosomal RNA (168 nucleotides) under Candidatus Thioglobus sp. Its description in RNAcentral is "partial 23S ribosomal RNA". It matches the Rfam family "Bacterial large subunit ribosomal RNA", at positions 1 to 170 of the family's 2925-position model. The record is from RNAcentral. Lineage: Bacteria; Pseudomonadati; Pseudomonadota; Gammaproteobacteria; Pseudothioglobaceae (SeqCode).